CAGCCGCCACGGGAAUACGUAGGGUGCAAGCGUUAAUCGGAAUUACUGGGCGUAAAGCGCACGCAGGCGGUUUGUUAAGUCAGAUGUGAAAUCCCCGAGCUUAACUUGGGAACUGCAUUUGAAACUGGCAAGCUAGAGUGUGGCAGAGGGGGGUGGAAUUCCGCGUGUAGCAGUGAAAUGCGUAGAUAUGCGGAGGAACACCGAUGGCGAAGGCAGCCCCCUGGGCCAACACUGACGCUCAUGCACGAAAGCGUGGGGAGCAAACAGGAUUAGAUACCCGAGUAGUCCCUGUCUCUUAUAC
Molecule: ribosomal RNA, 301 nt
Filed under: uncultured bacterium
Lineage: Bacteria
Description: partial 16S ribosomal RNA
Rfam family: Bacterial small subunit ribosomal RNA
Source: RNAcentral